UUAAUCGCUGCUAGAGCGGACCCAGUUCUUUAUCAUUGGUAUAUGCUGGGGCAAUUACUGUUAUAAAUCCACAAACCGUACUAUCUACAAAUAUUAUGGUUGACAUCAAAAAGCUUUAAAUGGAAUGAAACUUGUGCAGAAGAAAUCGAG
This is a long non-coding RNA of Sitophilus oryzae (rice weevil), 150 nucleotides long. RefSeq lists it as uncharacterized. The transcript has 2 exons. NCBI's taxonomy places the organism in Eukaryota, Metazoa, Arthropoda, Insecta, Coleoptera, Curculionidae. The record is from RefSeq and is a predicted model, not a curated record.